UAGUAGCUUACUGUGGAGACCCGGAUCUGGCAGAAUGUGACAGACUAGAUUGGGAGGAGGAGGAGGAGGAGGAGGCUGUGAGCUUUUUAAACGACGUUCGCACAGCAAAAAGCGCAUGCGGGUUCGAAGGUGGGCUCGGGCUUCUUCAGGCUCGGCUUAGUAGGAAAGUGCGGCGUCUGAAUGGAGAGCGGAGAGAGAAGGAGGCCUCUGGAGCGAGACGGAUAAGAGCAGGGUCUUUUCCGCUGCCAGUGAUACGCAAUGGGCUAUGACGUCAACAGGUUCCAGGGUGAAGUGGACGAAGAUCUCCUGUGCCCUAUUUGCAGUGGGGUUUUAGAAGAGCCGGUACAAGUAAGUAGUCCAUUUUGGUUCUACCAGGCAAGGAAAUGAUGGCUGACUUGUUUAAUCUCUCUCCAGUGACCCAGAAUCUUGCGUGUUGUCUUAGUAAAAUAAAAUGAUCAGCAACAAAGUGGUGUCUAGGAAAUCUUGAGCAGUGGCAGUUCUUAACCAUACUCUUUGGUUCUCCCUCCUGGAAGACAAGCUUGUCUAUUUGUUCUUGGUCUAACGCCUUUUCUAAAGUACCCCUAUCACUUGUUUUUUUGUAUUUCCUAUAAGUGGUGUUCUAGCAUGUCAAGGAGGGGUUGUACCGUAUUACUUCCUAAACACUUCAGGGGCACACUGAACAUUGAAGUCUGUUAGCUUACUUGUCAUUCUUGAUUAGGUACUACUCUCUUGCUUCUGUGAAAGCCAAACAUUCAGAUAUCAGCACAUCACAAGAGAAAUGAUGAUGUAGCAGAAGGUAAAGGGAUGCUAGGAGGAUGGGAAUUUCAAACCGGUGCCAACACUGAGUGUAUGUGUGGGAGGUCAGUCACCAAAAGAGACAGCAACUUACAGAAAGGAGCUGCAAGGCCACUGCAGAGCCAGAGAAGAGAGCAGGCUGGCUGCACUGGAGGGAGGGUAGAGUGUACAGGGUGAUAAGAUUGGCUGUUCUCUGCAGCCUGCCUUACUAACGAGAGUUGGCAACCGGCACUGUCGGGUGAGUUUUGAGAAGAUACAGGGGGCCAGAAUCAGCGUCUCAUCUGCCUAGGCAUGCAAGGUAGGGAGGGCCUCUAGAUUUCUUCUGUGCAAUAGAAAGAUGAGCUGCGGGAGGUGCCAUUGUGCCCCUGAACAGCACACACACGCAGCAUGCCUGGGCUUUUCGCCAUAUUUGGUUUGCUGCUGCUCUUUCUGUGUGUGCAGUGAACUAGCGGUGGUUUUUGGUGAGAAGUGCUCUGGACACACAAGAUGCAUUUCCCUAUUUAGCCAUCUGUCAUGUGUGGAUAUCGGAACGGUGCAUGUUUGCUGGGUUUAGUGGGCUGCCAGGGCGUUUUCCUUUCCUCUGUUAUUAUCAGUCUGGACUAAUGCCCAGGUGCAGCAAAUGUGAAAUUUCUUGUAUCUCAGGCUGGAUUUUCUGUUCUAUACUUUGAAACAGUUAAUUUGUAGUCUUUAUGAUGGUUGUCUGCUAGAGCUGAUGUGCAUGCCUACACACAGCAGCCAUUGGUCCAUUCUUAUAUAGCACCUUUCACAAGAAAAGACCGUACAGUAGUGUUUCACCUGCUGUCCAAACACCUGCUCAUGCCAUCAGUUUCUCAAUUGUGUGAGUUGAAGUAAGCAUGAAAGUACCCAGCAGUGGCAUCCUCUUCUGAGAUGCCCUGCAGCCAUUUUCAGCACACAUCUCUGUACUGGAAAGAACUAAAGAGCUGGUUCAAUAAGUGGAUGGCAGUGUGUCAUGUAAAACCCUCCCUUUUUUGCAAAGAAGGUGGUCCUUCUUUGUGUAUUGGUGCUCACUCUCCUCCCACCCCUCUGGCAAACCUCAUUUUUAAAAUACUCUGCACAAACUGUGACAUAUUACAGCACAUACACAACCACUUGCUUGACAGCCUGCACUCUAUCCACCACCCUUUAGUUCCAACAUGCACCAUAAGAAAAUUAAAGAAAUGAUGGAAGAGUUUUACUCAGUUAAUUAUUAUUAAAUUUAGUUGAGUGCAGACAUGGAUAUCCUUAAAGAGUGGCUCAUUCUUUAAUAUUUUGGCAUCCAGGGCUGGCAUGGCAAGGGGCUUGUGGGAUUCCAGGGGAAGUGGGGUUUGCAGUGUGAGUGGGGAGGUGUGACUGUUUUUCAUUGAGAAACCUGUCAGCAUUCUUAGUUGUGCUUUUAAAUUUGAGCCAUAGGUUGUGCCACUCAGACCCUCCUUUGAAAUCUUUCCCAUUCAGUUUAGUUUGUUCUUCAUGGGGUAACGUCAUGCACUAUUCUCACAAGUUAAAACGUGUAAUUCCAUGAAAAGCAUAGCCUUACAACAGUAAUUCAAAUGAAACAAAAAAAAAAAACAAAACCAGAAGUCAGCCUUAUUGGUUAAAUAAAAAAA
Long non-coding RNA from Polypterus senegalus (gray bichir), 2399 nucleotides. RefSeq lists it as uncharacterized. The record is from RefSeq and is a predicted model, not a curated record. NCBI's taxonomy places the organism in Eukaryota, Metazoa, Chordata, Cladistia, Polypteriformes, Polypteridae. The transcript is spliced from 3 exons.